Callithrix jacchus (white-tufted-ear marmoset) is the source of this 150-nucleotide non-coding RNA. The record is from RefSeq and is a predicted model, not a curated record. Lineage: Eukaryota; Metazoa; Chordata; Mammalia; Primates; Cebidae.
AUCAAAGUCUCUGUACAGGGUCUUGCUCUGUCACCAGGCUGGAGUGCAAUGGCGCGAUGUCGGCUCACUGCAACCUCCGCGUCCUGGGUUCAAGGGAUUCUCCUGCCUCAGCCUCCUGAGUAGCUGGGACUACAGAUUCCAAAUUCCCUU